GACAGACCUCAUGGUCAGCAUGCAGUAAUUUUGGUGGAAGAUGCUCCAAAAUACAUGGAUAAUCGGGGGGACAGAAAUGACCCUGGUCCAAUUGUUAGUGGAUCACGGCAGAUAUAUCUAACCCUUCCCAGCGGAGAGCACUUUUACAGAAGAUGAUGUCUCCAACUACUUCAACACCUUUGGAUCAGUUGAGGAUGUAAGGAUCCCCUGCCAACAGAAAAGGAUGUUUGGUUUCGUAACAUUUGAAAGUGCAGAUACUGUGAAGAUGAUUUUGGCAAAAGGAAAUCCUCAUUUUGUUUGUGGUGCUCGAGUUCUUGUGAAACCUUA
Molecule: unclassified non-coding RNA, 327 nt
Filed under: Hevea brasiliensis (rubber tree)
Lineage: Eukaryota; Viridiplantae; Streptophyta; Magnoliopsida; Malpighiales; Euphorbiaceae
Source: RNAcentral